GGGGUUGUGGCUCAACAGUACAGCAUCUGCUUUGCAUGCAGAAGGUCUCAGGUUCAAUCCCUUGCAUCUCCA
Molecule: transfer RNA, 72 nt
Filed under: Sphaerodactylus townsendi
Lineage: Eukaryota; Metazoa; Chordata; Lepidosauria; Squamata; Sphaerodactylidae
Description: tRNA-Ala
Rfam family: tRNA
About the family: Transfer RNA (tRNA) molecules are approximately 80 nucleotides in length. Their secondary structure includes four short double-helical elements and three loops (D, anti-codon, and T loops). Further hydrogen bonds mediate the characteristic L-shaped molecular structure. tRNAs have two regions of fundamental functional importance: the anti-codon, which is responsible for specific mRNA codon recognition, and the 3' end, to which the tRNAs corresponding amino acid is attached (by aminoacyl-tRNA synthetases). tRNAs cope with the degeneracy of the genetic code in two manners: having more than one tRNA (with a specific anti-codon) for a particular amino acid; and 'wobble' base-pairing, i.e. permitting non-standard base-pairing at the 3rd anti-codon position.
Source: RNAcentral